Molecule: ribosomal RNA, 497 nt
Filed under: uncultured bacterium
Lineage: Bacteria
Description: partial 16S ribosomal RNA
Rfam family: Bacterial small subunit ribosomal RNA
Source: RNAcentral
GACGAACGCUGGCGGCGUGCCUAAUACAUGCAAGUUGAGCGCUGAAGGUUGGUACUUGUACCAACUGGAUGAGCAGCGAACGGGUGAGUAACGCGUGGGGAAUCUGCCUUUGAGCGGGGGACAACAUUUGGAAACGAAUGCUAAUACCGCAUAAAAACUUUAAACACAAGUUUUAAGUUUGAAAGAUGCAAUUGCAUCACUCAAAGAUGAUCCCGCGUUGUAUUAGCUAGUUGGUGAGGUAAAGGCUCACCAAGGCGAUGAUACAUAGCCGACCUGAGAGGGUGAUCGGCCACAUUGGGACUGAGACACGGCCCAAACUCCUACGGGAGGCAGCAGUAGGGAAUCUUCGGCAAUGGACGAAAGUCUGACCGAGCAACGCCGCGUGAGUGAAGAAGGGUGUCGGAUCGUAAAACUCGGUUGGUAGAGAAGAACGUUGGUGAGAGUGGAAAGCUCAUCAAGUGACGGUAACUACACAGAAAGGGACGGCUAACUACGUG